Molecule: non-coding RNA, 118 nt
Organism: Aedes albopictus (Asian tiger mosquito)
Lineage: Eukaryota; Metazoa; Arthropoda; Insecta; Diptera; Culicidae
Source: Rfam
UGCCCAGCAACUCCUAUCCCUACCUUCACGCGGUACCGGCCGGAAACUAUGAGCAACCUUAGGGAAGAUCGGGUAACCAACCCCGGUGGGAACUUUGGUCGUAGGCUGACAGGGAAGG